Molecule: transfer RNA, 74 nt
Filed under: Tetracentron sinense
Lineage: Eukaryota; Viridiplantae; Streptophyta; Magnoliopsida; Trochodendrales; Trochodendraceae
Rfam family: tRNA
About the family: Transfer RNA (tRNA) molecules are approximately 80 nucleotides in length.
Source: Rfam by way of RNAcentral
AGGGAUAUAGCGCAGCUUGGUAGCGCGUUUUUUUUUUGUACAAAAUGUCAUGGGUUCAAAUCCUAUCAUCCCUA